This is a non-coding RNA of Peromyscus maniculatus bairdii (prairie deer mouse), 324 nucleotides long. The record is from RefSeq and is a predicted model, not a curated record. Lineage: Eukaryota; Metazoa; Chordata; Mammalia; Rodentia; Cricetidae.
CGGAAGUGCACCAAAAGACCGUUGGCGAUCUGAGGAGUUAGAAGAGGGACUCAGAACCCUGAGGGAAGGGCACCAAGAGAGCUAGAAACCUGAAGGAGAGGUGCCAACAGAGAACUGGCCCCAAGACAAAGUUAGAGCCCUGAGGCGAAUCACUGCGAUGAUGUGAGUGAAGGAAUGACGCUCCAGAGAGCUUGAAGCCUGAAGGAAGGAGUGAAGAAUUUAUGUGCUAUUUGUGUGCAUUCACAAACACCUUCUUAUGCCCUCAAGAGAAAACCUGUUCUAACAACCAGAGACGCUGUGCAGUAAUUGCCAUACGUAAGUAUC